CAAGUGUGCUUAACUUAGAGAUAACCCUUAAGAUCACAUACCAUUCCUGUUAACACAUCAGAAGAUGGACAGCUCUACCAGGAAUGGUAUGUGAUCUUAAGGGUUAUCUCUAAGUUAAGCACACUUAUAGCUUCUCAAUCAACCUCUCUUAUCCUGGGAGAAGCAUCUUUGAGUUGUUUAUCCUAGUUGCCCUUAGGAAUGCUUACAAGGGGUUCCAUUACUGAGCAUGGAAGUAUGUAGGAGACUGGAUCCAUUUUUG
This 259-nucleotide small RNA is filed under the name Bos taurus (domestic cattle). Lineage: Eukaryota; Metazoa; Chordata; Mammalia; Artiodactyla; Bovidae. The record is from RNAcentral.